UACGUAGGGUGCGAGCGUUGUUCGGAAUCACUGGGCGUAAAGGGAGCGUAGGCGGCGUGGUAAGUCAGAUGUGAAAUCCCGGGGCUCAACCCCGGAACUGCAUCCGAUACUGCCAUGCUAGAGGAUUGGAGAGGUAGCUGGAAUUCUUGGUGUAGCAGUGAAAUGCGUAGAGAUCAAGAGGAACACUCGUGGCGAAAGCGAGCUACUGGACAAUUCCUGACGCUGAGGCUCGAAGGCUAGGGUAGCGAAAGGG
This 253-nucleotide ribosomal RNA is filed under the name uncultured bacterium. RNAcentral's name for it is "partial 16S ribosomal RNA". It matches the Rfam family "Bacterial small subunit ribosomal RNA", at positions 524 to 776 of the family's 1533-position model. The record is from RNAcentral.